UACGUAGGGACCAAGCGUUGUUCGGAUUUACUGGGCGUAAAGGGCGCGUAGGCGGCAUGACAAGUCACUUGUGAAAUCUCCGGGCUUAACUCGGAACGGUCAAGUGAUACUGUCGCGCUAGAGUGCGGAAGGGGCAAUCAGAAUUCUUGGUGUAGCGGUGAAAUGCGUAGAUAUCAAGAGGAAUACCUGAGGUGAAGACGGGUUGCUAGGCCGACACUGACGCUGAAGCGCGAAAGCUAGGGGAGCGAACAGG
Molecule: ribosomal RNA, 253 nt
Filed under: uncultured bacterium
Lineage: Bacteria
Description: partial 16S ribosomal RNA
Rfam family: Bacterial small subunit ribosomal RNA
Source: RNAcentral